RNAcentral lists this unclassified non-coding RNA (322 nucleotides) under uncultured fungus. RNAcentral's name for it is "partial contains 5.8S ribosomal RNA, internal transcribed spacer 2, and large subunit ribosomal RNA". Lineage: Eukaryota; Fungi. The record is from RNAcentral.
AACGCACAUUGCGCUCCCUGGUAUUCCGGGGAGCAUGCCCGUUUCAGAAUCAUUAAAAAAUCUCAUUUUUCGCAUUCCUGCAAAGGGAUUCGGAAGUGGAUUUGGAUGCAUUUGCAAAUCGCAAUCAUCUUAAAAUGAUUGUAUGUGCACCAGUUGGUUCACCAAUUGGUCUCCAAAGUGCAACAGAUUUAUCUAUUACGCUGAGGUGACUGAUCGGAGUCCGUGGAGCGCAUGCUCAGAGUUUCUCAACAGUAAUUGCAUCCUUGGGUGCAAUGACUGAUAACUUGGUCUGAAAUCGGGCAAGAAAACCCGCUGAACUUAA